AUUGAACGCUGGCGGCGUGCCUAAUACAUGCAAGUCGAACGGAGUGGCUCACGGGUGAGUAAUGUAUAGCUAAUCUGCCCUACACUAGAGGACAACGGUUGGAAACGACUGCUAAUACUCUAUAGUUUAUGUGGAUGCUAUAUUGUAUCAGCUAGUUGGUGAGGUAAGGGCUCACCAAGGCUAUGACGCACAACUGGGCUGAGAGGAUGAUCAGUAAAAGUGUAACUGAGACACGGUCCAGAAUCCUACGGGAGGCAGCAGUAGGGAAUAUUGCUCAUGGGGGGAAAACCAGAAGCAGCAACGCGGGGUGGAGGAUGACACUUUUCGGAGCGUAAACUCCUGUUGUUAGGGAAGCGGUACCUACAGAAUAAGCACCGGCUAACUCCGUGCCAGCAGCCGCGGUAAUAC
RNAcentral lists this ribosomal RNA (408 nucleotides) under uncultured bacterium. RNAcentral describes it as "partial 16S ribosomal RNA". It matches the Rfam family "Bacterial small subunit ribosomal RNA", at positions 30 to 526 of the family's 1533-position model. The record is from RNAcentral.